UACAGAGGCCCCAAGCAUUAUCCGGAAUCACUGGGCGUAAAGGGUGUCGAGGCGGUCAUGUUAGUCGUUUGUAAAAUCCGGGAGCUCAACUUCCGGCCCGCAAGCGAAACGGCAUGACUAGAGAGCAGAAGAGGUGCAUGGAACUCACGGUGUAGGGGUGAAAUCCGUUGAUAUCGUGGGGAACACCAAAGGCGAAGGCAGUGCACUGGUCUGUUUCUGACGCUCACACACGAAAGCUAGGGUAGCGAACGGG
RNAcentral lists this ribosomal RNA (253 nucleotides) under uncultured bacterium. RNAcentral describes it as "partial 16S ribosomal RNA". It matches the Rfam family "Bacterial small subunit ribosomal RNA", at positions 524 to 776 of the family's 1533-position model. The record is from RNAcentral.